Molecule: non-coding RNA, 71 nt
Organism: Ailuropoda melanoleuca (giant panda)
Lineage: Eukaryota; Metazoa; Chordata; Mammalia; Carnivora; Ursidae
Source: Rfam
GCAUUGGUGGUUCAGUGGUAGAAUUCUCGCCUGCCAUGCGGGAGGCCCAGGUUUGAUUUCUGGCCAAUGCA